Long non-coding RNA from Pantherophis guttatus, 407 nucleotides. RefSeq lists it as uncharacterized. Lineage: Eukaryota; Metazoa; Chordata; Lepidosauria; Squamata; Colubridae. The record is from RefSeq and is a predicted model, not a curated record.
CAGUUCAACCUGAGCUCCUUUCAAGGCAGACAUAUCUCUGAAAAUCUCCCUGAAUUUUAAGGAACUUUUCAGGCGUGGGCGUGGCCAGAAUGUGACACAUCCAGCCCGUGGGACAGGAGUUUGACUGCCCUGGUCUAAGUGAAUUUAAUGAAUAUUUGCAGGCCAGUGAACUUGAGGUAGAGAAAUGUAUUGCUUCACAUCCAUAAGUCAGAAAUAUGACUAAGAGAUCAACCAACCAUUUCCUCCAAUGAAGAUUCUUCUAACAUUCUCUAGAUGUUCAGCCAUAUAUCAGAUGGAUCAGCCUUUAGAAUCUAACCUAUGCAAACAGAUUCCUGCUUCAAAAAGCUUCCAUCAUUUUCUAGAUGCUGCUCAUUUCAAAGCAACUGGUAAAUGUUCCCUAGCAAUCA